RNAcentral lists this microRNA precursor (133 nucleotides) under Mus musculus (house mouse). Its description in RNAcentral is "MIR480 microRNA precursor family". It matches the Rfam family "MIR480 microRNA precursor family". Lineage: Eukaryota; Metazoa; Chordata; Mammalia; Rodentia; Muridae. The record is from Rfam by way of RNAcentral. RNAcentral also lists the same sequence under 1 other name.
UAUAGUGCUAAGACUACAGUCAUGUACAAUAUGAUUAACUCAAACAUUUGCUCAUAAUCAUUGACUAUUAUCAGUCAUGAGCUAUAAUAAACUUUGAAAAAAAGAUCAGUUUCUUUAAAGACUCUGAUACUGA